This 253-nucleotide ribosomal RNA is filed under the name uncultured bacterium. RNAcentral describes it as "partial 16S ribosomal RNA". It matches the Rfam family "Bacterial small subunit ribosomal RNA", at positions 524 to 776 of the family's 1533-position model. The record is from RNAcentral.
UACGUAGGGUGCGAGCGUUGUCCGGAAUUACUGGGCGUAAAGCGCACGCAGGCGGUUCGCCAAGUUUGGAGUGACAGUUGUCGGCUCAACCGACAAAGGACUUCAAAAACUGGUGAACUUGAGGACGAGAGAGGAACAUGGAACUCCAGGUGUAGUAGUGAAAUGCGUAGAUAUCUGGAAGAACACCAAUGGCGAAGGCAAUGUUCUGGCUCGUUUCUGACGCUCAGGUGCGAAAGCCAGGGGAGCGAACGGG